CGAGCGAUACGAGAGAUAUUCUUUCGUGGGUAAGCAGCAAACCGUAGCUUUUGUAUCGAAAUUUUCUCAAGAAAAUUUGUCACUCGAGUAUUACCGACUCAAGUCAAAAAUUGAACUCUUACAACGAAACAAUAGUCAUUAUAUGGGAGAAGAUUUGGAUUCAUUGAGCGUUAAAGAACUGCAAAGCUUGGAACAACAAAUGGACACAGCACUGAAACAUGUUCGAUCCAGAAAAAACCAACUAAUAUGUGAUUCCAUCUCUA
Molecule: long non-coding RNA, 263 nt
Organism: Cucurbita maxima (winter squash)
Lineage: Eukaryota; Viridiplantae; Streptophyta; Magnoliopsida; Cucurbitales; Cucurbitaceae
Exons: 3
Source: RefSeq, a predicted model, not a curated record